GCGCGAAACCUCUGCAAUAGGCGAAAGCUUGACAGGGUUACUCUGAGUGAUUCCCGCUAAGGGAAUCUUUUGGCAUCUCUAAAAACGAUGCAGAAUAAGGGGUGGGCAAGUCUGGUGUCAGCCGCCGCGGUAAUACCAGCACCCCGAGUGGUCGGGACGAUUAUUGGGCCUAAAGCAUCCGUAGCUCGUUUUGUAAGUUUUCGGUUAAAUCCAUGCGCUUAACGUAUGGGCUGCCGGGAAUACUGCAUAACUAGGAAGUGGGAGAGGUAGACGGUACUCGGUAGGAAGGGGUAAAAUCCUUUGAUCUAUUGAUGACCACCUGUGGCGAAGGCGGUCUACCAGAACACGUUCGACGGUGAGGGAUGAAAGCUGGGGGAGCAAACCGGAUUAGAUACCCUUGUAGUCCCUGAGCGGGCUGGCAAGGCGCAU
RNAcentral lists this ribosomal RNA (429 nucleotides) under uncultured bacterium. RNAcentral's name for it is "bacterial SSU rRNA". It matches the Rfam family "Archaeal small subunit ribosomal RNA", at positions 339 to 776 of the family's 1478-position model. The record is from RNAcentral.